This 474-nucleotide ribosomal RNA is filed under the name uncultured organism. RNAcentral's name for it is "partial 16S ribosomal RNA". It matches the Rfam family "Bacterial small subunit ribosomal RNA", at positions 331 to 797 of the family's 1533-position model. The record is from RNAcentral.
GUACACUCCUACGGGAGGCAGCAGUGGGGAAUUUUGGACAAUGGGCGAAAGCCUGAUCCAGCAAUGCCGCGUGAGUGAAGAAGGCCUUCGGGUUGUAAAGCUCUUUUGUCAGGGAAGAAACGGUGAGAGCUAAUAUCUUUUGCUAAUGACGGUACCUGAAGAAUAAGCACCGGCUAACUACGUGCCAGCAGCCGCGGUAAUACGUAGGGUGCAAGCGUUAAUCGGAAUUACUGGGCGUAAAGCGUGCGCAGGCGGUUUUGUAAGUCUGAUGUGAAAUCCCCGGGCUCAACCUGGGAAUUGCAUUGGAGACUGCAAGGCUAGAAUCUGGCAGAGGGGGGUAGAAUUCCACGUGUAGCAGUGAAAUGCGUAGAUAUGUGGAGGAACACCGAUGGCGAAGGCAGCCCCCUGGGUCAAGAUUGACGCUCAUGCACGAAAGCUUGGGGAGCAAACAGGAUUAGAUACCCCGGUAGUCCC